RNAcentral lists this microRNA precursor (209 nucleotides) under Oryza rufipogon (brownbeard rice). RNAcentral describes it as "MIR812 microRNA precursor family". It matches the Rfam family "MIR812 microRNA precursor family". Lineage: Eukaryota; Viridiplantae; Streptophyta; Magnoliopsida; Poales; Poaceae. The record is from Rfam by way of RNAcentral.
AAUAAGUGCAGUUUUGCACUAUUCAUGUUCAACGUUUGACCGUCCGUCUUAUUUGAAAAUUUUUUAUGAUUAUUAUUUUUAUUGCUAUUAGAUGAUAAAACAUGAAUAGUACUUUAUGUGUGACUAAAUGUUUUUAAUUUUUUCACAAAUUUUUCAAAUAAGACGGACAGUCAAACGUUGAACGUGAAUAGUGCAAAACUGCACUUAUU